GGUAUCCUACGGGGCGCAGCAGUGAGGAAUAUUGGUCAAUGGGCUUACGCCUGAACCAGCCAAGUCGCGUGAGGGAAGACUGCCCUAUGGAUUGUAAACCUCUUUUGUCGGGGAGCAAAAGACGCCACGCGUGGCGUUCCGAGAGUACCCGAAGAAAAAGCAUCGGCUAACUCCGUGCCAGCAGCCGCGGUAAUACGGAGGAUGCGAGCGUUAUCCGGAUUUAUUGGGUUUAAAGGGUGCGCAGGCGGAAGAUCAAGUCAGCGGUAAAAUUGAGAGGCUCAACCUCUUCGAGCCGUUGAAACUGG
This 305-nucleotide ribosomal RNA is filed under the name uncultured bacterium. RNAcentral's name for it is "bacterial SSU rRNA". It matches the Rfam family "Bacterial small subunit ribosomal RNA", at positions 333 to 636 of the family's 1533-position model. The record is from RNAcentral.